RNAcentral lists this ribosomal RNA (497 nucleotides) under uncultured bacterium. RNAcentral describes it as "partial 16S ribosomal RNA". It matches the Rfam family "Bacterial small subunit ribosomal RNA", at positions 28 to 507 of the family's 1533-position model. The record is from RNAcentral.
GAUGAACGCUGGCGGCGUGCCUAAUACAUGCAAGUCGAGCGAACAGAUGAGGAGCUUGCUCCUCUGACGUUAGCGGCGGACGGGUGAGUAACACGUGGAUAACCUACCUAUAAGACUGGGAUAACUUCGGGAAACCGGAGCUAAUACCGGAUAAUAUAUUUAACCGCAUGGUUCAAUAGUGAAAGACGGUUUUGCUGUCACUUAUAGAUGGAUCCGCGCCGCAUUAGCUAGUUGGUAAGGUAACGGCUUACCAAGGCAACGAUGCGUAGCCGACCUGAGAGGGUGGUCGGCCACACUGGAACUGAGACACGGUCCAGACUCCUACGGGAGGCAGCAGUAGGGAAUCUUCCGCAAUGGGCGAAAGCCUGACGGAGCAACGCCGCGUGAGUGAUGAAGGUCUUCGGAUCGUAAAACUCUGUUAUUAGGGAAGAACAAAUGUGUAAGUAACUAUGCACGUCUUGACGGUACCUAAUCAGAAAGCCACGGCUAACUACGUG